CAAGGAGAUAGAGUUGGAGAUCGAACAAACUGAGGAAGGGUAGAAUGUGCCGGGAUCGGUUCCGAAUUGAGGGAUGCAGGUUGGAUAGAAAGUGGCAAUCUCCUAGGACUCAUGCGUUUUCUUUGAAUUUUCAGUUAGGAUGGUUCUUCACCUGAAAAGAUGUGGCUUUAUAUCAAUGAGGUAAAAAAUUCAUCAGAGUUUUAUGUAUUUUUUUUCAAUAUUUUAUGACUGUAGGUCGUAAGUCGAGGGCGGCCAUAACAUGAGGUUAUUACUUUCAAGACAUUUGAUUUUAUAAUAGAAACGAGAUGACUAUUUUGAUGAUUUUUUUAGAUGGGUUUCUAACUGGUGGUGUAGGCAGCGUCCAAGUUGAUAAAGACUACAGUGGACCAAUUUUGGAGCAAUACAGAAUUGAAAGAAAUUCAUGAGAAGAAGGAGAGGGUGGACGAUGGAAAUGUUAGAGAGUGCUCUAGCUAGGCACGGGUAAUUUAAAAGUGGUAUGGCAUUAUAUAUUUAUAGUCAAGUGAUCUCAAACCUGUGUAAUUAGUUAGCUUUUUCGUAUAUACUUGUAAUUACAUUAAUAACUAGUUAAUUAAUUAUAUGAAGUUCACCUUAAUUUUUCAUGUCAGAAGGGGAAGGGCAUGUGACCUCUACAAUGUUUGUGUUGUCUUUUUUGAGAGAGGGUACUAUUGCCAAUAUAAUCUCAUGAGAAGUAUAAGAAGUAUCGGAAGAAAUUCAUGAGAAGAAGGAUAGGGUGGAGGAUGGAAAUACUAAAGAGUACUUUAUGCAUGAGUAAUUUAAAAGUGGUACAAGUGAUCUCAAAACAUUCCAUAUGUAAUUACUUAGUUUUUCAUGUAGGGUUGUUCCAUUCAUUUAAGGAUUGAGAAAAAAAGUUGUCUCUUUUAAAUUCUAGUUUAUAUGGUUGUUUCAUUUAAUGAUUGAGAAAAAGGUUCUCUUUUGAAUUUUUUGUGCUUGUUUGUGAAGUCAUUCUUUUGAAACGUGCAUUUUUUAUCUUUACGUUAUGAGAUACUUCGUGGUUGUAUUCUAAAUUAAAAAAUAAUAAAUAAAUAAAACCCUUGGUCUCUAUUUUGUUUCUUACAUAUAUUUUGAAACUAAUUUUGCAAAAAAAUGACCGAAGAGCGGUUGAAUUGAUGACAAUUAUGUAGUUUUGUGAAAAAUAUACAAACAUGGUCGAGGAGCGGUUGGACUGAUGACAUGUAUGUAGUUUUGUUGAAAAUAUACAAACGGAUUCUACUAAAACUAUACAAAAUGAUUCUACAUGUAUUUGAAACUGAUUCUACAAAAAUGGUCGAAGAUGGAUUGAACUGAUUAUGCAAAAAUGAUCGAGGAUUGAUUUGACUAAUUCUGUAAAAAUGGUGGAAGAGUACAUGUUGAACUAAUUCUACAAAAAUGGUCAAUGACGAGUUGAACUGAUUUUGUAAAAAUAGUGGAGGACGAGAUGAAAGCAAAAAUGGUAUGGUGAACUGAUUCUGCAAAAAUGGUCGAGGACAAGCUGAACUAAUUAUACAAAAAUAGUCGAAGAUGAGUUGAACUGAUUCUGCAGUUUUGGUCAAAGAAGAUUGAAUUUAAUUCUGCAGAAAUGAUCGAAGAUUGGUUGAACUUGAUUAUGCAGGACAGGUUGAACUUGAUUUUACAGAAAUGGUUGAAGACGGGUUGAAACUGAUUAUGCAAAAAUGGUUGAGGACAGGUUGAACUAAUUAUGCAAAAAUGGUCGUGGACGGUUGAACUGAUUCUGCAAAAAUGAUAAAAAACAUAUUGAACUAAUUAUGCAAAAUUGGUCAAUGACAGGUUGAACUGAUUCUGCAAAAUAUGGUCGAAGACUAGUUGAACUGAUUCUGCAAAAGUGAAAUAGGAAGGUUGAACUAAUUCUGCAAAAAUAGUCGAAGACGGGUUGAACUGAUUCUGCAAAAUUGGUUGAAAAUGGGUUGAACUAAUUCGGCAAAAGUGGUCGAGGACGAUUGGUAAUGACAGAUUGAAUUGAUUCUAGUAAUGAAUGAUACAAACUAAUUCUUUAUCUAUUUUCAAAAUUGAUUCGGCAGAAAUAGUUGAGAAUGUGUUGAGUUUAUGACACAUUAAUUUGUUGGAGUUGUGAAGGUUGAAUUCUAUUAACAACUCUAAAGCAUUAGGGGCAUAGCUGGCAUUUUAAAACUUUUUUUAUCCAUGUUUUUUUGUUGGGCUUUAGUUGUUUUUAUGUUUUUGUCUCUUCUUGACAUGAUUAAAAACUAAUAGAGUUUCUUGAAAUAUAGUGAAAAUUUUUGUUUAUGUAUAAAGCUCCCAAAAAACAAGGAUAAUAUAUCUCAAUUAAUGAAACUCUCUUUGUCAACCAAAAGAGGGUGAAAAGACUACUCAAUCUUCUAUCACACACAAAAAAUGAUGGGCAAUAAUGUAAUUUCACAUGUCCAAAUUUUACUGUUUUUUAUUAAAACAUCACCUACGUGUGAUGUUAAAAUACCUCCAAUAUUGAUACCCAA
RNAcentral lists this long non-coding RNA (2489 nucleotides) under Malus domestica (apple). RNAcentral describes it as "long non-coding RNA (MDOM_LNC010703)". Lineage: Eukaryota; Viridiplantae; Streptophyta; Magnoliopsida; Rosales; Rosaceae. The record is from RNAcentral.